UACGUAGGGUGCAAGCGUUAAUCGGAAUUACUGGGCGUAAAGCGUGCGCAGGCGGUUUUGUAAGUCUGUCGUGAAAUCCCCGGGCUCAACCUGGGAAUGGCAUUGGAAACUGGCGGGCUGGAGUGUGGCAGAGGGGGGUGGAAUUCCACGUGUAGCAGUGAAAUGCGUAGAGAUGUGGAGGAACACCGAUGGCGAAGGCAGCCCCCUGGGCCAACACUGACGCUCAGGCACGAAAGCGUGGGGAGCAAACAGG
This 253-nucleotide ribosomal RNA is filed under the name uncultured prokaryote. Its description in RNAcentral is "partial 16S ribosomal RNA". It matches the Rfam family "Bacterial small subunit ribosomal RNA", at positions 524 to 776 of the family's 1533-position model. The record is from RNAcentral.